This 497-nucleotide ribosomal RNA is filed under the name uncultured bacterium. RNAcentral's name for it is "partial 16S ribosomal RNA". It matches the Rfam family "Bacterial small subunit ribosomal RNA", at positions 28 to 507 of the family's 1533-position model. The record is from RNAcentral.
GAUGAACGCUGGCGGCGUGCCUAAUACAUGCAAGUCGAGCGAACAGACGAGGAGCUUGCUCCUCUGAUGUUAGCGGCGGACGGGUGAGUAACACGUGGAUAACCUACCUAUAAGACUGGGAUAACUUCGGGAAACCGGAGCUAAUACCGGAUAACAUGUUGAACCGCAUGGUUCAACAGUGAAAGACGGUCUUGCUGUCACUUAUAGAUGGAUCCGCGCCGCAUUAGCUAGUUGGUAAGGUAACGGCUUACCAAGGCAACGAUGCGUAGCCGACCUGAGAGGGUGAUCGGCCACACUGGAACUGAGGCACGGUCCAGACUCCUACGGGAGGCAGCAGUAGGGAAUCUUCCGCAAUGGGCGAAAGCCUGACGGAGCAACGCCGCGUGAGUGAAGAAGGUCUUCGGAUCGUAAAACUCUGUUAUUAGGGAAGAACAAAUGUGUAAGUAACUAUGCACGUCUUGACGGUACCUAAUCAGAAAGCCACGGCUAACUACGUG